This 292-nucleotide unclassified non-coding RNA is filed under the name Hevea brasiliensis (rubber tree). The record is from RNAcentral. Lineage: Eukaryota; Viridiplantae; Streptophyta; Magnoliopsida; Malpighiales; Euphorbiaceae.
UUCACAUUCUGAACUCUCACAAAUCAAAGGAAAGAGCUCAUUGAGAACUCAUGACAGGCCACAAGAUUCCACGAAUAAGACAUUGCUGCGGAAGUUCAGUAAGCUUGAUGAAGAAAGUGAUUUUGGAUCCCCAAGUUAUAGAGCUGAUCUGGAUUACAGUGGGAAUGUGAGAGAAGCAGUUGCGUUGUCUAGAAGUGCGCCUCUUGGCCCUCCUCCCUUGUGCUCGAUUUGUCAACACAAGGCACCUGUAUUUGGGAAACCACCCAGGUGGUUUACUUAUGCUGAGCUGGAG